RNAcentral lists this non-coding RNA (20 nucleotides) under Arabidopsis thaliana (thale cress). Lineage: Eukaryota; Viridiplantae; Streptophyta; Magnoliopsida; Brassicales; Brassicaceae. The record is from RNAcentral.
AAUCUGUGUCAAAGUGCUUA